GGAUCCAGACUUUGAUCAUGGCUCAGGAUGAACGCUAGCAGCAGGCUUAACACAUGCAAGUCGAGGGGCAGCGCGGGAUAGCAAUAUUCUGGCGGCGACCGGCGGAAGGGUGCGUAACGCGUGAGCGACAUGCCCGUUGCCCGGGGACAACCGGUGGAAACGCCGACUAAUCCCCGAUGGGAUACGAUGCUGCAUGGCAUUGUAUUGAAAGUUACGGCGGCGACGGAUUGGCUCGCGUCCGAUUAGCUUGUUGGCGGGGUGACGGCCCACCAAGGCUACGAUCGGUAGGGGUUCUGAGAGGAAGGCCCCCCACAAUGGGACUGAGACACGGCCCAUACUCCUACGGGAGGCAGCAGUGAGGAAUAUUGGUCAAUGGGCGGAAGCCUGAACCAGCCAUGCCGCGUGCGGGAAGGAGGCCCUAUGGGCUGUGAACCGCUUUUGCCUGGGGGCAAUAAGGGCGUCGCGCACGUCCGAUGAGAGUACCAGGCGAAUAAGCAUCGGCUAACUCCGUGCCAGCAGCCGCGGUAAUACGGGGGAUGCGAGCGUUAUCCGGAUUCAUUGGGUUUAAAGGGUGCGUAGGCUGUGCGUCAAGUCGGGGGUGAAAUUCCGGUGCUCAACACCGGGGCUGCCCUUGAUACUGUCGCGCUGGAGUGCGGAUGCCGCCGGAGGAAUGAGUGGUGUAGCGGUGAAAUGCUUAGAUAUCACUCAGAACACCGAUUGCGAAGGCAUCUGGCGAAUCCGUAACUGACGCUGAGGCACGAAAGCGUGGGGAUAGAACAGGAUUAGAUACCCUGGUAUUCCACGCCGUAAACGAUGAUGGCUAACCGCCGGCGACACACUGUCGGUGGCCAAGCGAAAGCGAUAAGCCAUCCACCUGGGGAGUACGUCGGCAACGAUGCAACUC
This 904-nucleotide ribosomal RNA is filed under the name uncultured Bacteroidota bacterium. RNAcentral's name for it is "bacterial SSU rRNA". It matches the Rfam family "Bacterial small subunit ribosomal RNA", at positions 1 to 902 of the family's 1533-position model. Lineage: Bacteria; Pseudomonadati; Bacteroidota. The record is from RNAcentral.